AUUUUCAAAAAAUUUGCAAACCCUAAAGUUCAAAUCUCCUUUUCUCUCUCUCUCUCUCGGCCUCUCCUGCCACCACUUGACCCUUCUUCUCCUUCCAGCUCGUCCUCUCCCCCUUAUCUUCAUGGACUCUCGAAAUGUUGUUCAGUGUCAAGAUAAGAUUUCAAAAAAAAUCUCCAAAUUUACACCCAAAAACCUUAAGAUCUCCAAGCUUUACAAUGUUGCUUCAAUCCAACUAAAACUUCUCGUUUUUCGAUUACAAACAUGAAUUUCACGACAAGUUUUCGCGGGAACUUGAGUUUGCUGCCAGCGUAGUUCUUGCUGCCAUGUUCGUUUCCAGCCAUUUUUAGCUUGUUUACAUGUUCCUCGCCUAGAAUGUUGUCGUUUUGCAAGUUUUAGUUCAUACCAGGUUUCAAGAGAGAGAUUGUUUGUAGAGUAAUUGGGACAGAUACUGAACCAGAUAGCAACAAUGAUAAGGAAUAUAUACAGGAAAAGCAAAUAAAUGAAGAUGGGGAAAACCCACCUGCCACUGAUACCCAUCAGAAAAAUGAUAAACCUGAGCUUGAUUCGCAGCUUGAUGAUAUGAAGAUGAUACAGAAACAAAUGGUCUAGGUGGUGGUGUGCAGGGUAAUUGUGGUGUUUAAGGUAUAUCAUGCGUCAUCCAAGAAUAUUAGCUGGAAGAGUGAACAUAUGGCAGCGAUCAAAAAUGAGAAUUGGUGGGUGCUGGAUAUCAAUCGAAUCUAGUCAUGGAACUUGUUUUGUAAACGUUGUUGAUGAGGUUGGUGACAUUAUAAUUUGUUGCCGGAAGUUUAUUACUAAAAAUGCCAAAUAAAGAGGCAUACAGAAUGUGUAUCAACAUUAGUUACUCAGUAUCAAAUAGAUGUUCAAUACAGCUGAUUGCUAGA
Molecule: long non-coding RNA, 902 nt
Organism: Pistacia vera
Lineage: Eukaryota; Viridiplantae; Streptophyta; Magnoliopsida; Sapindales; Anacardiaceae
Exons: 4
Source: RefSeq, a predicted model, not a curated record